This 231-nucleotide ribosomal RNA is filed under the name uncultured Candidatus Saccharibacteria bacterium. RNAcentral describes it as "partial 16S ribosomal RNA". It matches the Rfam family "Bacterial small subunit ribosomal RNA", at positions 584 to 818 of the family's 1533-position model. The record is from RNAcentral. Lineage: Bacteria; Candidatus Saccharimonadota.
UAAGCGCGAAGUGAAUUUGGGCUCAACCCUGAACUGUUUCGUGAACUGCAAAGCUAGAGUAUAUGAGGGGUACCUGGAAUUCCCGGUGUAGGAGUGGAAUCCGUAGAUAUCGGGAGGAACACCAAUGGCGUAGGCAGGGUACUGGCAUAUUACUGACGCUGAGGCACGAAAGCGUGGGGAGCGAACGGGAUUAGAUACCCCGGUAGUCCACGCCGUAAACGAUGGAUGCUA